CACGUAGUUAGCCGGGGCUUCUUAAUCAGGUACCGUCUGGCGACCCAAAGGUCGCUAUUCUUCCCUGCUGAUAGAGCUUUACAUACCGAAAUACUUCUUCACUCACGCGGCGUCGCUGCAUCAGGGUUUCCCCCAUUGUGCAAUAUUCCCCACUGUUGCCCUCCCGUAGGAGUUUGGGCCGUGUCUCAGUCCCAAUGUGGCCGUUCACCCUCUCAAGGCCGGCUACUGAUCGUCGCCUUGGUGAGCCAUUACCCCACCAACAAGCUAAUCAGACGCGGAACCAUCGUAUACCACCAGAGUUUUCACACCACUUCAUGCGAAGCUGUGCGCUUAUGCCGGUAUUAGCACCUAUUUCUAAGUGUUAUCCCCCAGUAUACGGCAGGUUUUCCACGCGUUAACUCACCCGUCCGCCACUAACUCAUAAUCACCUAGGUUUCAAUAAUGAGCCCGUUGACUUGCAUGUGUUAAGCUACGCCGCCACGCGUUCACUACCCUGAGCCAGGAUCAAAACU
RNAcentral lists this ribosomal RNA (512 nucleotides) under uncultured Lachnospiraceae bacterium. RNAcentral describes it as "partial 16S ribosomal RNA". Lineage: Bacteria; Bacillati; Bacillota; Clostridia; Lachnospirales; Lachnospiraceae. The record is from RNAcentral.